This 1128-nucleotide ribosomal RNA is filed under the name Pseudomonas sp. RNAcentral describes it as "bacterial SSU rRNA". It matches the Rfam family "Bacterial small subunit ribosomal RNA", at positions 37 to 1162 of the family's 1533-position model. Lineage: Bacteria; Pseudomonadati; Pseudomonadota; Gammaproteobacteria; Pseudomonadales; Pseudomonadaceae. The record is from RNAcentral.
AGACAAUGAGCGCAGCUACCAUGCAGUCGAGCGGUAGAGAGAAGCUUGCUUCUCUUGAGAGCGGCGGACGGGUGAGUAAUACCUGGGAAUCUGCCUGAUAGUGGGGGAUAACGUUCGGAAACGGACGCUAAUACCGCAUACGUCCUACGGGAGAAAGCAGGGGAUCUUCGGACCUUGCGCUAUCAGAUGAGCCCAGGUCGGAUUAGCUUGUUGGUGAGGUAACGGCUCACCAAGGCUGCGAUCCGUAACUGGUCUGAGAGGAUGAUCAGUCACACUGGAACUGAGACACGGUCCAGACUCCUACGGGAGGCAGCAGUGGGGAAUAUUGGACAAUGGGGGAAACCCUGAUCCAGCCAUGCCGCGUGUGUGAAGAAGGUCUUCGGAUUGUAAAGCACUUUAAGUUGGGAGGAAGGGCUGAUGCUUAAUACGUAUCAGUCUUGACGUUACCGACAGAAUAAGCACCGGCUAACUCUGUGCCAGCAGCCGCGGUAAUACAGAGGGUGCAAGCGUUAAUCGGAAUUACUGGGCGUAAAGCGCGCGUAGGUGGCUAAGUAAGAUGGGUGUGAAAUCCCCGGGCUCAACCUGGGAACUGCAUCCAUAACUGCUUGGCUAGAGUACGGUAGAGGGUAGUGGAAUUUCCUGUGUAGCGGUGAAAUGCGUAGAUAUAGGAAGGAACACCAGUGGCGAAGGCGACUACCUGGACUGAUACUGACACUGAGGUGCGAAAGCGUGGGGAGCAAACAGGAUUAGAUACCCUGGUAGUCCACGCCGUAAACGAUGUCAACUAGCCGUUGGGAACCUUGAGUUCUUAGUGGCGCAGCUAACGCACUAAGUUGACCGCCUGGGGAGUACGGUCGCAAGAUUAAAACUCAAAUGAAUUGACGGGGCCCGCACAAGCGGUGGAGCAUGUGGUUUAAUUCGAAGCAACGCGAAAACCUUACCUGGGCCUGACAUGCUGAAACUUUCCAGAGAUGGAUUGGUGCCUUCGGGAACUCAGACACAGUGCUGCAUGGCUGUCGUCAGCCUCUGUCUUGAGAUGUGGGUUAAGUCCGUAACGAGCGCAACCUUUGUCCUUAGUUACCAGCACAUUAAUGUGGGGCACUCCUAGGAACACCGCCCGGUGACAAU